GGCUGAGGCUGGUCUUUGUUCUUCUGGGUAUUCUAAUAGCAGUAAAGCCUCAAGAGGCAGAUAACCUUUCUUUACAAGACAUUGCAAAGAAACUGGAAACUCGAUUCCUUCUGCAGAAUGUGGAAGAAGCCAAGAAAUUAGUAGAUGCUGCCUAUGAAUAUACCUAGAACUGGUUAGAAGAAAAACUAAGGAAAGAGACAGUACGCCCUUCAGAUAUCCUAGUGUCUUUCAGACGACCUGUAGGAAAAACUCGGUCGCAUGUGAAAGCUGCUCAAUAUAGGCUGGUGGCCUUGGACCUCUUGAAAGAGAAGCUGCAGGAUGUAUUUCCUCAGGAAUUCAAUAUCACAGAAUUUAUCCUUUUUGCAAGAGGGGUCAGAUGUCAACGCUGCUAACAUCGGAUGUUUUUGCAUUGACAACAAAUGGAAAUGUAGCUAUCUUUUACCUUUUGCUUUUAGAGUUAGAUGAUGCUGGGAGGGGGAAUGUGAGCGAGAGUCCAGCUAGACAUAACAACGCUGGACCCAGUGUGAGAGACAAGGUUAUUGUAACCAGAGCUGAUAAGAAAUUGGCGGGCUGGAGAACGGGAGAGGAAUCCCGCGCUUCAUGCUAAUUGGGGAAUGUGAUUUAGCUUCAUGCUAAUUGGGGAAUGACUGUUAAUUAGAGGAGGGAAUUGUGCUUUGAUACUAUGUGC
Molecule: long non-coding RNA, 688 nt
Organism: Crotalus tigris (Tiger rattlesnake)
Lineage: Eukaryota; Metazoa; Chordata; Lepidosauria; Squamata; Viperidae
Exons: 4
Source: RefSeq, a predicted model, not a curated record